This 243-nucleotide ribosomal RNA is filed under the name uncultured Actinomycetales bacterium. RNAcentral describes it as "partial 16S ribosomal RNA". It matches the Rfam family "Bacterial small subunit ribosomal RNA", at positions 88 to 334 of the family's 1533-position model. Lineage: Bacteria; Bacillati; Actinomycetota; Actinomycetes; Actinomycetales. The record is from RNAcentral.
UACUCGAGUGGCGAACGGGUGAGUAACACGUGGGUGAUCUGCCCUGCACUUCGGGAUAAGCUUGGGAAACUUGGUCUAAUACCGGAUAGGAGCCAUCUUUAGUGUGGUGGUUGGAAAGUUUUUUCGGUGUAGGAUGAGCUCGCGGCCUAUCAGCUUGUUGGUGGGGUAAUGGCCUACCAAGGCGGCGACGGGUAGCCGGCCUGAGAGGGUGUACGGCCACAUUGGGACUGAGGUACGGCCCAC